UGCCAGCCGCCGCGGUAAUACGGAGGGAGCGAGCGUUAAUCGGAAUUACUGGGCGUAAAGCGCGCGUAGGCGGCUUUGUAAGUCGGAUGUGAAAGCCCAGGGCUCAACCCCGGAAGUGCACUUGAAACAGCAAGACUUGAAUACGGUAGAGGAGAGAGGAAUUCCUGGUGUAGAGGCGAAAUUCGUAGAUAUUGGGAGGAACGCCGGUGGCGAAGGCGAUCACCUGGACGGGUACUGACGCUGAGACGCGAAAGCGUGGGGAGCAAACAGGAUUAGAUA
RNAcentral lists this ribosomal RNA (279 nucleotides) under uncultured bacterium. RNAcentral's name for it is "partial 16S ribosomal RNA". It matches the Rfam family "Bacterial small subunit ribosomal RNA", at positions 506 to 784 of the family's 1533-position model. The record is from RNAcentral.